This is a long non-coding RNA of Lagopus muta (rock ptarmigan), 316 nucleotides long. RefSeq lists it as uncharacterized. The transcript has 3 exons. NCBI's taxonomy places the organism in Eukaryota, Metazoa, Chordata, Aves, Galliformes, Phasianidae. The record is from RefSeq and is a predicted model, not a curated record.
UCACAGGUGAGGGUGAUUCAGCUGUGUGACCGGGAGACCCGUUUAAGCACUGACUGCCUCGGGUGAAGGAUCUCUUUCUGGAGAUCCCUUCUCUGUGGAGUCUUCCCUGCAAACCUAGAUCUUUGGAUUCAGGAUCAGAAUCACGCCCUCUUCAUACCACUAACAAACUCUUAUGAUGGAGCUUGCAGUGAGACUCUUAGUAAGUGAUGUCUGGAUGAAGAAAUGCUGAAGAUGAUUUGGUUAAACUGAAGCAAACAGUGGAGCCCUUUUUCAAAGGAGGUUUGGAGGGGAACAGAUGGGGAAGGCAGGAAGCCCU